This 238-nucleotide ribosomal RNA is filed under the name uncultured bacterium. RNAcentral's name for it is "partial 16S ribosomal RNA". It matches the Rfam family "Bacterial small subunit ribosomal RNA", at positions 116 to 353 of the family's 1533-position model. The record is from RNAcentral.
CGUGAGUAACCUGCCCAUAAGAGGGGGAUAAUCCAUGGAAACGUGGACUAAUACCGCAUAUUGUAGUUAAGUUGCAUGACUUGAUUAUGAAAGAUUUAUCGCUUAUGGAUGGACUCGCGUCAGAUUAGAUAGUUGGUGAGGUAACGGCUCACCAAGUCAACGAUCUGUAGCCGAACUGAGAGGUUGAUCGGCCGCAUUGGGACUGAGACACGGCCCAGACUCCUACGGGAGCAGCAUG